UGGGCGCAAGCCUGAUGCAGCCAUGCCGCGUGUAUGAAGAAGGCCUUCGGGUUGUAAAGUACUUUCAGCAGUGAGGAAGGUGGUGUCGUUAAUAGCGGCAUCAUUUGACGUUACCUACAGAAGAAGCACCGGCUAACUCCGUGCCAGCAGCCGCGGUAAUACGGAGGGUGCGAGCGUUAAUCGGAAUUACUGGGCGUAAAGCGCAUGCAGGCGGCCUGUUAAGUCAGAUGUGAAAGCCCGGGGCUUAACCUCGGAAUUGCAUUUGAAAACUGGCAGGCUAGAGUCUUGUAGAGGGGGUAGAAUUUCAGGUGUAGCGGUGAAAAUGCGUAGAGAUCUGAAGGAAUACCAGUGGCGAAGGCGGCCCCCUGGACAAAGACUGACGCUCAGAUGCGAAAGCGUGGGGAGCAAACAGGAUUAGAUACCCUGGUAG
RNAcentral lists this ribosomal RNA (430 nucleotides) under uncultured bacterium. Its description in RNAcentral is "bacterial SSU rRNA". It matches the Rfam family "Bacterial small subunit ribosomal RNA", at positions 372 to 793 of the family's 1533-position model. The record is from RNAcentral.